AUUACACAUAUACAUAUAUAUGAACAAUUUAAAGUUUACUCAAGAAUGUGUAUUUUUUCUACAUUAUAAAAUGUGGUAUUGGGUUCUAGGAAAUUAUUUCAAACUACACGAUCAUUUGAAGAAGAUAGCUCUUAGGAAAAAAGAGAUGAUCUCCUCUAACUUCUUAGAACCACUGCACUGCCAAAUGGGGAUUUAUUUCUAUUGCCUCAUCCAAGUCAGUUCCAAAGCUUAACUCUUCCAUGAAGUUUUCCAUGAUCAAUCCUGCCUAAGAGAACAGGAACAAACCAGAGAAAAUUAUAUGUGUGAGAAUGGAAUAAGGGCUAUCAGAAGAUAGAAAUUUUGACAUAUUUCUGGAAGAUGGAAGCAUAAAGCAGACUGGAAGAAGCUCUAAUCCAGAAAACAUACAGAAGCCUUCAACGGAUGUGUGGGCUGCUCUUCCUGAGAGAACCAUAAGAAGAUUCCAAGCUUGGCAACGGCAGGUAUGGGGACCAGCAAUAGGAAAUAAGGUGAUAAAAAUGCUACUUCCCUUGUAAAGAGAAAGGGCAGCUGCCUACAAAACAACAGUGAUCUUCUAAGGUGUGAGCAAAAGAAAAUGUAUUGUGCAAUAAAUCUAUGAAGCAAGGAGUUAUUUCAGGACUACUUGAUGACGCCAAAUGUGGUCUUUUGAAGGUUCACAGGUGCUGUGAUGUCUUUCACAGGCAAUGGAUAAAGCAUCCUGCAUUGUCCUAGGCACACUCUGUAGGGAAGAUAUGGGAAUCUGAAGUCAACUUUGCCAAAAUUGCUAGAAGAGAUCAUUUAAAUGGCUUCCAGAGUUCUGGAUGAACAGUUUCUUCAAGAAGGAAUUUGGG
Molecule: long non-coding RNA, 848 nt
Filed under: Homo sapiens (human)
Lineage: Eukaryota; Metazoa; Chordata; Mammalia; Primates; Hominidae
Description: HSALNT0362008
Source: RNAcentral